UCGGCCUGGGGCGGUUUGGUGGCCUUCCUGCUCCAGUCAGGGCAGAGCCGCCGCCUGUGGACGAGGGCGCUGCUGAGCGCCAGUUCUUGCUGUGGUCCCGGAGCUCGACGUGAGACCUGAGAGAAGUCGUCUGCCUGGUUUUCUGUGAAUAAACAGCUCAUCUGCAAGCAAUGAGAGACGUACUUCUUCUUUUCAGGAAAAGUUCAGCAUUCGCGUUCUGGCUGAGAUGUCAUUCUUAACAACAGCAAUGACUGCCUGGGGAAUAUGACGGCAUUUGCCUAAAGGACUUCAUCUGGCCCAUGAUAUCUUGAAAGUACCUACACCAUCCUUUCAGAUACUCAAAGGUACUUCAAAUAAAAUCAAAACAAGAAUUCUCAAACGUAGCCUUGAAAAUGUGGGGAGUCAGAACAAAAGGACCUCAUUGUUUCACUGAUAGUCAUUGAUGGGGACACCCAGAAUAUACGGAGAAAUGAAGAGAAAAGGUUUCAAGUUUGUUCGUGGUCAGGGAGACGGAAGAACAGGGAGUGCUUGCCGUGAAUACAGGGUUUGCUGGGAGGUGAGGCGGAAAUCUUCAAAGGGUCUGAAACUACAAGGUGGCCAUGGUUACACAGCGCU
Molecule: long non-coding RNA, 615 nt
Organism: Cervus elaphus (red deer)
Lineage: Eukaryota; Metazoa; Chordata; Mammalia; Artiodactyla; Cervidae
Exons: 3
Source: RefSeq, a predicted model, not a curated record